GCCAGUGUGGUGUAGUGGUUUGAGUGUUGGACUAUGACUCUGGAGACCUGGGUUUGAUUCCCAGCUCGGCCA
This 72-nucleotide transfer RNA is filed under the name Phrynosoma platyrhinos (Desert horned lizard). Its description in RNAcentral is "tRNA-OTHER". The record is from RNAcentral. Lineage: Eukaryota; Metazoa; Chordata; Lepidosauria; Squamata; Phrynosomatidae.